GUGGGGAAUCUUGCGCAAUGGGCGAAAGCCUGACGCAGCCAUGCCGCGUGAAUGAUGAAGGUCUUAGGAUUGUAAAAUUCUUUCACCGGGGACGAUAAUGACGGUACCCGGAGAAGAAGCUCCGGCUAACUUCGUGCCAGCAGCCGCGGUAAUACGAAGGGGGCUAGCGUUGCUCGGAAUUACUGGGCGUAAAGGGCGCGUAGGCGGACAGCUUAGUCAGAGGUGAAAGCCCAGGGCUCAACCUUGGAAUUGCCUUUGAUACUGGCUGUCUUGAGUUUGGGGGGGGUGAGGGGAACUCCGAGUGUAGAGGUGAAAUUGGUAGAUAGUCGGAAGAACACCAGUGGCGAAGGCGGCUCACUGGUCCAUUACUGACGCUGAGGUGCGAAAGCGUGGGGAGCAAACAGGAUUAGAAACCCCAGUAGUCC
This 425-nucleotide ribosomal RNA is filed under the name uncultured bacterium. RNAcentral's name for it is "partial 16S ribosomal RNA". It matches the Rfam family "Bacterial small subunit ribosomal RNA", at positions 354 to 796 of the family's 1533-position model. The record is from RNAcentral.